GCUGAAGCCCUGAUUUUGCUCAGUUGAGUGUUCUCUGCUCUGUGCUUUCCACGGUUUCUUGUAAUUGUGCAGGGCAUAUACUUGAAGACAGGGUCCUUGUUCCAUAGGGUUUAGUCGUCUUCUGCUUCUUACAAAGUUUUCAAGAGGUCUUGUACUUUGGCAGCAGGUCUGUGAAGAGAAAAUUGUGUGUGUGUGACUUCUUGAGAAACUAUCUGAAGGACCCAGCCUUAACUUAUGGUGGAUCUCUGUCUUCGAUUCCUACUGUUUUGACCGAAGUUGCUGAAGCUUGCAUGCUGCUUCAUGCAGUCACACGUUCUGGGUCAUGAAACUUAAUCCACAGCAAGCACCAUUAUAUGUGAGUAAAAACACACACAUAUAUUUUAAACCUACACUUUCUGUUCUCUGGGGCAUAUUGAA
Molecule: long non-coding RNA, 417 nt
Filed under: Pogona vitticeps (central bearded dragon)
Lineage: Eukaryota; Metazoa; Chordata; Lepidosauria; Squamata; Agamidae
Description: lncRNA (ENSPVIG00000004281.1)
Source: RNAcentral